UGGGGAAUAUUGCACAAUGGGCGAAAGCCUGAUGCAGCAACGCCGCGUGAGUGAUGAAGGCCUUCGGGUUGUAAAGCUCUGUCUUUUGGGACGAUAAUGACGGUACCAAAGGAGGAAGCCACGGCUAACUACGUGCCAGCAGCCGCGGUAAUACGUAGGUGGCAAGCGUUGUCCGGAUUUACUGGGCGUAAAGGAUGCGUAGGCGGAUUUUUAAGUGAGAUGUGAAAACCCUAAGCUUAACUUGGGGACUGCAUUUCAUACUGGAAAUCUAGAGUGCGGGAGAGGAGAAUGGAAUUCCUAGUGUAGCGGUGAAAUGCGUAGAGAUUAGGAAGAACACCAGUGGCGAAGGCGAUUCUCUGGACCGUAACUGACGCUGAGGCAUGAAAGCGUGGGUAGCAAACAGGAUUAGAUACCCUGGUAGUCCACGCCGUAAACGAUGAGUACUAGGUGUAGGAGGUAUCGACCCCUUCUGUGCCGCAGUUAACACAAUAAGUACUCCGCCUGGGAAGUACGAUCGCAAGAUUAAAACUCAAAGGAAUUGACGGGGGUCAUAGCUGUUUUCCU
Molecule: ribosomal RNA, 564 nt
Filed under: uncultured bacterium
Lineage: Bacteria
Description: partial 16S ribosomal RNA
Rfam family: Bacterial small subunit ribosomal RNA
Source: RNAcentral